AGGAAUUGCUCACUCGAGGAGCUCGGCUCUUGAGACAGGAGUCUUGCUGAUGCCCCCGGCCGAAUAAACCCCUUCCUUCUUUAACUCGGUGUCUGAGGAGUUUUGUCUGUGGCUUGUCCUGCUACAUUUCUUGGUUCCCUGACCGGGAAGCGAGGUGAUUGGUGGAUGGUCGAGGCAGCUCCUUAGGCGGCUGAAGUCUGCCCUGUGGAACAUCCCUGCGGGGGACUCCGGCCAGCCUGAGCGACGCGGAUCCUGAGAGCACUCCCAGAUAGGCAUUUGCCCCGGUGGACGCCUCGCCAGAGCAGUGUGUGGCAGGCCCCCGUGGAGGAUCAACGCAGUGGCUAACACCAGGAAGGAAUGGGCACUUGGAGUCUGGACAUCUAAAACUUGGCACAGGUAUCUCACACUCGGUCAAUCAUCAGACUCGCCUGAGGUUUCAAAUCACCCUUGAGCACAGGUUCAUCCCCAUCCGAUGACAUCCAAAUCCCUGGCGGUGACUCCCAGUCAGCAGCAUGUCCUCAGAGCAUCCCAGGAACUUCCAACAAGCAAUCAGAGAACUGCCGAGAACAUCAAUUGAGACAGAAGCGCUUCAGGUGUGGCCCCUGGACCAGCAGCAUCCACCUCACCUGGGAACAUGUUGGAAAUGCAAGUUCUCCCCCUCCCCAGAUCUCCUAAAUCAGAUCCUCAGGGGCGAGGCCAGCACGCUGUGUUUGAACAAACCCUCGCACUGAUUCAGACGCAUGCUCUGCCACAGGCACAAGGUGACAGGUGUCAAGGGAACACAGAAAGACAGAGAGACGAAGGGGAGCUACUGGCAGUACCAACAGCCAAGACCUGGGGCCCUCUCCUCCUGCCUCCAGGAGGCCUGAUUUUCCCUUCCCUGCCUCCCUGCAGAAGUUCAAGGCUGUUCUUUAUGAAAGAACUUACAGGUGGCCUCAGGCCCCCUGUUGAAGGUCAUGGUAUCUUCCCUCUUGUCCUUUCCCAGUCCAGGAGCACUCGGCCGUGACCCCCGAGAGAUCCAUGCCCUGUCAUGCGCCUGCCUCUCAGCCUCUCCCCAGGCUAACUGCUGCAGUGCCAAGGAGGGCCCUGCCCUUUGCCUCUGUGCCCCCAUUGCCAGGGUUUCCUGUUCAGCUGUGAAGGGCUCCCUCGAUUGCUCCAGAGUCUGGAAUUUGGGAACACUUCAAGCAGAAAGUUUAUAAUUCACCUCCCAAUUCUUUCAGCCCUGUGAACUGCCUACUGCUUGAAAAACAAAAAACAUCAAGUGACUGCUGAUUAUGGACUAGAACAGAAAUCAUGCAAAUAUUCUUACUUUGGCUAAGUUAAAAUAGAUUCCAAGGCACAGGCUUUGGCAUGGCAGAAGCCAGGGCCCUCCAUCCAGAUUGGCUGUACCAGGUGACUUCCCUGAGCCCGCAGUUUUCUCACUGAAAAUAAUAAUAAUUGCUAUUACUGUUAUCAGCAUAAUAGCAGAAUUUGUAAGCCCUUUGUCCUUCCAGCCUCUCUCAGAGGUAGGGUGGGGCAGCAGUUCUCUCACUGCUCAUUAGAAUCCCCUGGGGAGGUUUUAAAAUGCAGAUUCCCAGGCUACACUGGGACCAAGAGAGCCCCAGGAUGGCCCAGCCGUCUGCAUUUCUUCAAGCCCUCCUCUGUCCUUGGGUGGGACUAUUGCCCACUGGCCUGUGUUUUCGUUCCUUGGAAAUGGCCCCUCAGUUUUUUUUAUGGGGACCCUACCCACUUCCCUCAGACACACGCACCUCAGGGUGUGACACAGGCCAGGUGGUCAGAGUCAACUCCAGGGGCUUGCAGGCCUUGGCCCUCACACUUGGGUUACAUAAACCACUGCAAAGAACUUAACCGAAGCCAACAUAUGGCAAAUUUUAAAACUAUUAACUUCAUUUAAGGAAAAUAAACAACAACAAUAGAGCCAGGUUGUCAUGAAUUGGAAGCAGAUGCGUGGGGCUCUUUGUAGACUGCCUGCUCCCAACAAGAUCAUCCCUCUUCCCUCCCCAUUCCCCUUCCCUGGUGCAAGCAGAGCUGCAUCCUUAAGGAGGCUGGGCUCAGCCUGCCAGAGGUGGAGAGCCUCUGGACUCAGGAACCUCCGCCUGCCUCAAUUUCCUCGUAAUCACAGAACAUCUGCUGCAUGGAGCCUGCCCUGCAUCCCUGGGGCCUGGCAGGGCCGUUAGUUACCAUCUCAUCUGGCAAUGUCACAAACAUCCUCAUUCUCACUGUUGCAGCUGGUGUGAAGGGCUUGGGGACCUGGUGAGGGCUGGGCUGGCACCCAGGCCCCCUCCUGCCCCUGCAGCCCCAGCCGCUUGGGUCUGAAGCUGCAACUCUGAGUGGUGACAUUUUGGCACCAGCCAGGGCCAAGAGCAGACACUUUGGUGACAGAGGAAAGGUUACGGCUCUGAUGUUGGCUUUUUGAAUUUUCUUUCUGGGCUCUCUUAGCUCUUGUCUGGUUUCUGGCUUUGGCGAUUGGUUCUUCAUGAGGUCUCUGGAGAUGGCUUCUCUUCCUUCCCAUGUGGCCUGUAAAAUAGGCCUGGGCAGCCUCUUCAUCCCAGCCCCUUCCCCUCCUUUCUCUUGAUGUUGCCAGUCCUUACCCCCCAGGAGAUGAGGCCUGCAGGUUGUGCGGGGUGGGCAGCCCCCGUGGUUGUGCAGCCUGCUGUGCUCAGACAGCCCAUGCUUAGUUUAAUGCUCUGCUGUCCUGUCUUCAAAAUCUUCAUACUUUGGGAGGAAGGGGGCAGGCAUUUUCACGUGGCCCCGGGCGUGCAAAUUCUGCAGCUGCCCUGAGAGAUGAAUCCAUAAGCGAGGAUAGAACGGGGGCGGCCCUAUUGACUGAGGAGGAAGAUUUCUUCUCCUCCCCUGGAGGGCAGAGGUCAGGGUGCACCACAGCCUGAUGAAGCCAUGCGAAGAUGACCAGGACUGCUUGGAGUAGGGUGUCAGCCUCGGGUCCCCAAAACCCACUCCCGCCCCCUCCGAGGACUGACUAGUCAGGAGCGCAGGGGCUCGGAUGGCCUUCAUGGGGAAGACAGGUCAAAUCCUCCUUCUUUCUCUUCAUUGAUCACUUUUCAAAAUCAUAAGUUGGUUCCCUGACAUCCUCCAGCAGUGACCGAUAGUGUCACUAUGAACUCCUAAAUGUAAACAUAUUGGAUGAGUUUUGAUCUAUUUCGGUGAAUCCAUGGCAACGUAUAGACCUAUUAUAUAUCCUCUUUCAAACAUAUAGAUAAAAUAACAAUUCAAAACUUAAAUACUGAUUGGAUAUUUCAUGAUAUUAAUAAUUUUUAAUAUUUUAGCUGUUAAUAGUAACAUGUGUGACCACCCUUAUUUGGCAGAUUUCUUAUUUUUUAGUGCCAUGUAUUGGAAUAUUUAUGGGUUAAAUAAAAACAAAAAACAAAACUGCAACACAUCUCCUGGGACCCCAGCCUCGGCCUCGGGAACCGGGUAUUCUUGUGAGAUGUUGGCCUUGGCACAGGGAGGCUGUAAGGUCCCUUCCUUGAAAC
RNAcentral lists this long non-coding RNA (3491 nucleotides) under Homo sapiens (human). RNAcentral describes it as "HSALNT0269903". The record is from RNAcentral. Lineage: Eukaryota; Metazoa; Chordata; Mammalia; Primates; Hominidae.